This 406-nucleotide ribosomal RNA is filed under the name uncultured bacterium. Its description in RNAcentral is "partial 16S ribosomal RNA". It matches the Rfam family "Bacterial small subunit ribosomal RNA", at positions 30 to 526 of the family's 1533-position model. The record is from RNAcentral.
AUUGAACGCUGGCGGCAGGCUUAACACAUGCAAGUCGAGCGAGCGGCGGACGGGUGAGCAAUGUCUGGGCAACUGCCUGAUGGAGGGGGAUCACUACCGGAAACGGUAGCUAAUACCGCAUACCAUCAGAUGUGCCCAGAUGGGUUUAGCUAGUAGUGGGGGUAAUGGCUCACCUAGGCGACGAUCCCUAGCUGGUCUGAGAGGAUGACCAGCCACACUGGAACGGAGACACGGUCCAGACUCCUACGGGAGGCAGCAGUGGGGAAUAUUGCACAAUGGGCGAAAGCCUGAUGCAGCCAUGCCGCGUGUGUGAAGAAGGCCUUCGGGUUGUAAAGCACUUUCAGUUGGGAGGCGUUACUCACAGAAGAAGCACCGGCUAACUCCGUGCCAGCAGCCGCGGUAAUAC